GAGAGAGCGAGACGGGUGUGGGUGUGUGUGAGAGAGAGACGGGUGCGGGUGUGUGUAUGUGAGAGAGAGACGGGUGUGGGUGUGUGUAUGUGGCUGUGUGUGUGAGGGGUAGUUGGGAAACGGGGAACCGAAAAUCCGACCGCUCCCUUGGUGAAUGACCGAGCCAGCAGCUGCCGGUCCUCGCAGAAACACGUUUAUAUGGUACAUCUCCGUGCUAAGUAUGGGACCAGCUACGUGCUUUUGCUGCUUAUUUUCAGAUACUUACUGCUACAGUUUACCCAAACAAAACACGCCAGCGAUUUUAUUGUUAACGAAGACAGUUCUCUCCUCCCCAAAAGCACCUUGACUGAUUCAUUCACACUGCAAACCAGUACUCAAGGUGGAAACGCUGCAGCUAGUGGACUGGAUACAAACUGUGCUGAGACGAUGUAUUUGCUGACACCUGGGUCUAAACUGCACGGUGAAAGUUACUGGGAGUGCACUGUGUGUUUGCUGGGAGAGAGGAAUCUAUAAUCUGUUAGCCGUUAAACACACUCGAUGGUUGGAAAAUAAAGCUUUCCCAACUUCAA
Rhincodon typus (whale shark) is the source of this 569-nucleotide long non-coding RNA. RefSeq lists it as uncharacterized. The record is from RefSeq and is a predicted model, not a curated record. NCBI's taxonomy places the organism in Eukaryota, Metazoa, Chordata, Chondrichthyes, Orectolobiformes, Rhincodontidae. The transcript has 2 exons.